RNAcentral lists this ribosomal RNA (912 nucleotides) under Triticum aestivum (bread wheat). RNAcentral's name for it is "partial small subunit ribosomal RNA". Lineage: Eukaryota; Viridiplantae; Streptophyta; Magnoliopsida; Poales; Poaceae. The record is from RNAcentral.
AUGAAGAUCACACUAGAACAAGGCUUCUCUGAAAUUGAAUUUGAAGCUGAUAUCAUGCAAAACAUCAACCGGAGCUCCAACACCCCCAUCUCCAUGCACUGUGUCAUGUUUGGACCCGAAGGCUGGGCGGACCUACCACAUGGAUUAUUGCACUCCAUCAUUGUCCUGCUGGGUUCAACUCGUGACCUUCUUGCAUUCAUCGCCACCUGCCCUAGCUGGUAUGCCGCAUUCAUGUUAAUCCAAUCUACCUUAGGCGAGCUCUUCCCACCUGUUAUUUUUCGGAACUGUGCCAACCAGACAAGCUCAGCUGGCUCUAACAUUGGAAACACAUGGGAGCUCGUUGAUCCUGUAUACCCAAGUACUCUGUUGUGUCGGUUGACCCCUCCAAGUAUUUUGGACAAAAUGGCAGUCAUCAAAUGUUCUUAUGGUCAUGCAAUUUUCUGCUACGACAGAUCCCUUGUCAUUAUGGACGUGCUCACUGGCACUAUGGUUGCAGCUCCACCUUUCCCAUUGAGUCAACUAUGCUAUAGAACCUUCAUAUCUCCAGAGGCGUCACCAGAUUCAUAUCUAUUUGUCAGCAGCCCGCAUUGUCUGUACGCUUGGCGAGUUGGGAGCCCCUCUUGGUUGCACUGCGAUUUUCUAAAUGCACAUUUGAUCAAGGAGAUGGUAUCCUUCAAAGGUCGGGUCAUUAUGAGGAUGCGUCAAAAACUAUACACCGUGCAUUUGGCACCUCAGUUUCAUGUUGAGGUACUAAGAGUUGAUUGCAGAGAUUAUAUGGACCCAUAUGUGCUUUCCGGAAAUUUGGUGGCUUGUGAAGACAUACUUCUCCUACUUGGUCAUAACGGGGAAGCCUUCUCCAUUGACUUUCAACUGAACCUGCAAAGUAUGUGCGCGUGGAAGAGGGAGGCUUGA